UACAGCGACUGCGAAUGGCUCAUUAUAUAAGUUAUCGUUUAUUUGAUAGUACCUUACUACUUGGAUAACCGUGGUAAUUCUAGAGCUAAUACAUGCUGAAAAUCCCGACUUCGGAAGGGAUGUAUUUAUUAGAUUAAAAACCAAUGCCCUCUGGGCUCCUUGGUGAUUCAUAAUAACUUUUCGAAUCGCACGGCCUUGCGCCGGCGAUGGUUCAUUCAAAUUUCUUCCCUAUCAACUUUCGAUGUUUGGGUAUUGGCCAAACAUGGUCGCAACGGGUAACGGAGGGUUAGGGCUCGACCCCGGAGAAGGAGCCUGAGAAACGGCUACUACAUCCAAGGAAGGCAGCAGGCGCGCAAAUUACCCAAUCCCGAUUCGGGGAGGUAGUGACAAUAAAUACUGAUACAGGGCUCUUUUGGGUCUUGUAAUUGGAAUGAGUACAAUUUAAAUCUCUUAACGAGGAACAAUUGGAGGGCAAGUCUGGUGCCAGCAGCCGCGGUAAUUCCAGCUCCAAUAGCGUAUAUUAAAGUUGUUGUGGUUAAAAAGCUCGUAGUUGAACCUUGGGCCUGGCUGGCCGGUCCGCCUCACCGCGUGUACUGGUCCGGCCGGGCCUUUCCCUCUGUGGAACCUCAUGCCCUUCACUGGGUGUGGCGGGGAAACAGGACUUUUACUUUGAAAAAAUUAGAGUGCUCCAGGCAGGCCUAUGCUCGAAUACAUUAGCAUGGAAUAAUAAAAUAGGACGUGUGGUUCUAUUUUGUUGGUUUCUAGGACCGCCGUAAUGAUUAAUAGGGACAGUCGGGGGCAUCAGUAUUCAAUUGUCAGAGGUGAAAUUCUUGGAUUUAUUGAAGACUAACUACUGCGAAAGCAUUUGCCAAGGAUGUUUUCAUUAAUCAGAACGAAAGUUAGGGGAUCGAAGACGAUCAGAUACCGUCGUAGUCUUAACCAUAAACUAUGCCGACUAGGGAUCGGACGAUGUUAUUUUUUGACGCGUUCGGCACCUUACGAGAAUCAAAGUGCUUGGGCUCCAGGGGGAGUAUUGGUCGCAAGGCUGAAACUUAAAGAAAUUGACGAAGGGCACCACCAGGGUGA
This 1086-nucleotide ribosomal RNA is filed under the name Beauveria pseudobassiana. Its description in RNAcentral is "SSU rRNA". It matches the Rfam family "Eukaryotic small subunit ribosomal RNA", at positions 79 to 1179 of the family's 1831-position model. The record is from RNAcentral. Lineage: Eukaryota; Fungi; Ascomycota; Sordariomycetes; Hypocreales; Cordycipitaceae.